UACGUAGGGUGCAAGCGUUGUCCGGAAUUAUUGGGCGUAAAGAGCUCGUAGGCGGCUUGUCGCGUCGAAUGUGAAAUCUCAGGGCUCAACUCUGACAUUGCAUUCGAUACGGGCAGGCUAGAGUUCGGUAGGGGAGACUGGAAUUCCUGGUGUAGCGGUGAAAUGCGCAGAUAUCAGGAGGAACACCGGUGGCGAAGGCGGGUCUCUGGGCCGAUACUGACGCUGAGGAGCGGAAGCGUGGGGAGCGAACAGG
RNAcentral lists this ribosomal RNA (253 nucleotides) under uncultured bacterium. RNAcentral describes it as "partial 16S ribosomal RNA". It matches the Rfam family "Bacterial small subunit ribosomal RNA", at positions 524 to 776 of the family's 1533-position model. The record is from RNAcentral.